UUAGAUAUUUUCAACCCUUAACUUUUAAUUUUUGUCUAGGAGAGUCCCUUCAUCUCCUCCCACUUCUUAAAUUUCAAAAUAUCUCCCUCUUUUCAAAAACCAUAUUUGUCAGUGUUUUUCAACUUAUACUUGUUUUAAUGAGUAGACACUUUGGCCUUAUGCCAUUGAAUUUUCAAACAUUUCCCUAGAUCAAACUUGUAAAUAAACUUAACGAUAUUGACUUCAAUUUCAAAAAAAAAGACAAAAAAG
This 249-nucleotide long non-coding RNA is filed under the name Lathyrus oleraceus (garden pea). RNAcentral describes it as "Pisum sativum (pea) long non-coding RNA (PSAT_LNC009719)". Lineage: Eukaryota; Viridiplantae; Streptophyta; Magnoliopsida; Fabales; Fabaceae. The record is from RNAcentral.